RNAcentral lists this long non-coding RNA (281 nucleotides) under Medicago truncatula (barrel medic). RNAcentral's name for it is "long non-coding RNA (MTRU_LNC004477)". Lineage: Eukaryota; Viridiplantae; Streptophyta; Magnoliopsida; Fabales; Fabaceae. The record is from RNAcentral.
AAGCAAGAAGCAAAAACAAACAAGGAAGAACCAAGUAUUGGGAAAGCCGCCGUAUAACACUCGUACAAGCGGUGGUCCUUCUCCAUCUAUCCAAUGAAUUUGGUUUAUUGGAACGUCCGAGGUAAGUGCUGUGCUGAUAUGGUUAGACACCCUUCCGGCGGAGUUACAUAUGGAUCUCUUGUGUGAAAGGUUGACUUGCUUAAGUACAAAUUUCCAUAGUCUUUUGUAGCUUGUUCUCAUUUUUUUUCCUUUGUUUUUUGAGGGUUUUGGCCUAGUCCCCC